Molecule: transfer RNA, 74 nt
Filed under: Pseudaeromonas pectinilytica
Lineage: Bacteria; Pseudomonadati; Pseudomonadota; Gammaproteobacteria; Aeromonadales; Aeromonadaceae
Also listed under: 14 other names
Description: tRNA-Gly
Rfam family: tRNA
About the family: Transfer RNA (tRNA) molecules are approximately 80 nucleotides in length.
Source: RNAcentral
GCGGGUGUAGUUCAAUGGUAGAACUUUAGCUUCCCAAGCUAAUAGCGUGGGUUCGAUUCCCAUCACCCGCUCCA